This is a small nucleolar RNA of Lathyrus oleraceus (garden pea), 106 nucleotides long. Lineage: Eukaryota; Viridiplantae; Streptophyta; Magnoliopsida; Fabales; Fabaceae. The record is from RefSeq and is a predicted model, not a curated record.
AUCCCAUGAUGGGACAUUAUCUAAGUAACUCCUUGAAUAUCUCCUAAGCAUCAAAUAAAGAUUCAUCAUCUCCUUGUCUAAAUGAAGUUAUCUUAUUCCUCAUCUU